This 1140-nucleotide ribosomal RNA is filed under the name Triticum aestivum (bread wheat). RNAcentral's name for it is "partial small subunit ribosomal RNA". Lineage: Eukaryota; Viridiplantae; Streptophyta; Magnoliopsida; Poales; Poaceae. The record is from RNAcentral.
AUGGCGUUUAUUAAGAGAAAUGCAAGUCUUGUAUGGUUGGCGGCCCUCGUGUUGGUGAUGGCAACUGUGAUGUCGUCUUGUGAUGCUGAUCCAAAAGAAUACUGCAGUGGGCUUGAAGAUGGUUGCACCAAAUCUAAGUGCAGGGAUUGGUGUGCUGGCGUAGGUUACACCAAGGGAUCUCAUUGCCAGGAAGCCGGCGUAUGUUGUUGUUUGACUGCUGCUAAACCCAAGGGCUGCUGCAUGCCACCAAAAGGAAGCUGGCUGAACAGCGAGCUGCACCAGGAUAGAUAUUGUUUGGCUACAUCGGCGAGCAGUGGUGCUCCUUUCACAGUAUUCCCUCCUGGAAGUGCUCCACCUCCUCCUGAAUUCUUCAAUAUGAUCAACCGUGGGUCUGGUAAUGGGCAGCAGCCACCUCAGCACCCCGUAAAUAUAAAUCUGAACGACUUCUUUGGUCAUGCAAACGUCAACGCGAAUGCGCCCAAGGACCAACGGCUGGGAAUCCAGGCAGCCAUACGCCAGCAGCUCCUUUCCCAGCAAACACCGCAGUCCCUCCUCCUGGUUUCCCCUUCAUGGGCUCAGGCACCGAAGCAAAUCAUGCACAUCAGGCUUCAGGCGGACAUGGCGGGGGGCAGGGUGAACCCGCAGAUGUUUGGACCGCAGAUGGGCCCCAAUGAUGGUGGUGCUGGUGCGCCAAGAAGUUCGUCGGCUCCCUUCUUUAGACUUUACAAGGGUUUUUUUCUCUCUCUGAAUUUUGCAUUUUGGUUGAUCGUCACAGCAUCGUCUUCCCUAGUUAUUCAAACUGCGGCUCACCCCAGAUCGCCGGCCAACAUCUCGCCCCAAAUCCCCUUCCAUCUCGCCCCAUACCCCCUUCCAUCUUGCCGCCAAUCUUGCCAAGGAGAUCUCCAUCCGUGGAUGCUUGCUUCUCCCGCUGGUAUUGCCGAUCGCUGGAGGUGGCCUAGGAUCUCGGCCAGCGCCCAGGAUAGCCUCGUGCGCGCAGGAUCACAUGUGUCGUAUCUUCUCCUCUGCUCCUCUUGCCGCCUCUCGGCCAGUGCCCAGGAUCGCCUUGGUCUUGCUCCUCUGCUUCUCCUGUGCUACAUCUGCUCUCAAACUAGAAACUGGCAUGCAGAAACUGGAGUAUAG